UCGAUCAUGGCUCAGAUUGAACGCUGGCGGGAUGCUUUACACAUGCAAGUCGAACGGCAGCACGGACUUCGGUCUGGUGGCGAGUGGCGAACGGGUGAGUAAUGUAUCGGAACGUGCCUAGUAGCGGGGGAUAACUACGCGAAAGCGUAGCUAAUACCGCAUACGCCCUUCGGGGAAAAGCGGGGACCUUCGGGCCUCGCACUGUUGAAGCGGCCGAUAUCGGAUUAGUUGGUUGGGGUAACGGCUCACCAAGGCGACGAUCAGUAGCGCUGGUUUGAGAGGACGACCAGCCACACUGGGACUGAGACACGGCCCAGACUCCUACGGGAGGCGGCAGUGGGGAAUUUUGGACAAUGGGGAAACCCUGAUCCAGCCAUCCCGUGUGCGAUGAAGGCCUUCGGGUUAUCAAGCAUGGCAGGAAAAGCAGCUGCAGGAUAAUACCCCGUGCAACUGACAGUACCUGCAGAAUAAGCACCGGCUAACUACGUGCCAGCAGCCGCGGUAGCCACGUAGGGUGCAAGCGUUAAUCGGAAUUACUGGGCGUAAAGCGUGCGCAGGCGGUUCGGAAAGAAGAUGUGAAAUCCCAGAGCUUAGCUUUGGAACUACAUUUUUAACUACCGAGCUAAGAGUGGUAGCGUCAGGAGGUGAUUCAUGUAUAGCAGUGAAAUGCAAUGAACAGGGCACUGUUUCGCGAAGGUCAGCCUCCUGGGAUCUUCUUGACACUCCAUGUAGCUGUGGAAAGAACAAACAGGAUAGACACCCUGGUGAUCCACGCCUAUUUGAAUGUCAUACUAUUGACCGGGCAUUAGGCCUUGGUGUGCCAUCUAGCGUGAAGUUGACGCCUGGGUGAUCCGCAGACCCAAAGCUCCAAGGAGUGGCGGAUUGCACAAAGCGGUGGGAUGAUGGACCAAUUUCGAUGCAACAUAACCUGCCAUCGGCAUGUCCCAGGAAUCCGAAGAGAGGCCUGGAGGUGCUCGCAAAGAGAACGGAACUUAGUUACUACGUGAUCGUCAGCUCGUAGUGAGAUGUUGGACAAGUCGCAACGGCAAUACUGGCAACUAGAUUACGAAGGCCACUGUAAAAUUUGCCGGCGGCGGCUGUACAAACCUAGGAAGGCGGGGCGGGAUGACGUCAAAGUCCUCAUAGCCUGUAGUUAGAACUUCACGUCCAUGCAAUGUUGGGACGGUCGCCAACACCAGGGAGCCAAUCCCGAAACCCGAUCGUAGUCCGGAUCGCAGUCCUGCAACUCGACUAUGAUAAGUCGGUCCAUAGUAAAUCACUUGGAUCAACAUGUCGCGGUGAAGCCGUUCAGAUGUAGUACGCCGUCACACCAUGGGAGUGGGUUUUACAGAAAUAGUUAGCCUAACCGUAAGGAGGGCGUUACCACGGUAGGAUUCAUGACUGGGGUGAAGUCGUAA
This 1418-nucleotide ribosomal RNA is filed under the name uncultured Bordetella sp. RNAcentral's name for it is "partial 16S-23S ribosomal RNA intergenic spacer". It matches the Rfam family "Bacterial small subunit ribosomal RNA". The record is from RNAcentral. Lineage: Bacteria; Pseudomonadati; Pseudomonadota; Betaproteobacteria; Burkholderiales; Alcaligenaceae.